CGGGGUGGAGGCGCCUCGUCCGUUCGACGCCCGGGCUGCUGGGCCCUCCGCGCCCCAGUGCGGCCCUGAGGAGAGGUCUUGAGGGUGGCUGUGGCAGCAGUCCCCCAGAUCCCAGCUGGAGCGGGAUCAGUUGCUUUCAGGGCUUGAGGAAGAGAAAACAGCCCGUCUGCCCAAGGGGUGGGCAUGGGCUGAGCUGGAGGCAGCAGCAGCGAGGAUUUUUUUAAUGUUUUGGGAUGAGGAGGUUCAUAGGUGGAGGUAAUGAGGGAGUAGGACGUGGGGUUUUUUUGUUUUUUUCUUAUAUUUUUACCCUGUGAGGUUGAACUGAUCACCUGUCUCAGAUCUUGAUAGUGAAGUAAACUUGAGAAAGCUUAGGAGUACAGUCUGUUUACUUGUUUCCUGAGUGGCAGUAGGAAUUUCUUCUUUUCUUUUCUUGCUGCUAUGCUGUUACAGGUGUUUCUUCCAAACUGAGAUGUAUGAAGAGGUGUUGUCAUUUACUGCUUGUGUUCUGUCUUUUACGAGUCCUGUGUCUGGUGAAUUUACGUGGUCCUUGCUGGCCUGUUUGCUAAUAAGUGUGACAUUUGUUUUGCUACUUCUUUACUUACCUGGUUUCUUCAUUGAGCUUUUGGUUCCAGAGAUGGUGGAUUGACAGCUGCUGUUUAGUCUGAGCUCUUGAUAUUCUUUCAGUUGUGAUGCAAGGGACCGGCAAGUUUUCUAAUAUGUUAAUGCUUGCACUGUGUCUCAGGAAAGAUGAGGUAUACAGGGCUCCAGGAAGGUACAUCUCCAAAGCACUUGUCCCAUCAGACGCUGUUAACAGCUGUUUGAGGAUUUUACCUAAUUUCUUUCUAAUGGUAACUUGAAUUUAUUUUGUCCUCUUGUGUCUUUUUGCAAUAUUGUAGCAUCUCAUAUCACUUGGUAUUAAAGUUGGCAUUUGAACUUUUAUCCAAGAGUGAAUUGCUCUGAAAUUCAGUAGUAUGUUGAAAGUCCAGUUGGUUGGUCCCCACCGUGUAGGCUUGGGAAAUUUGAUUUCAAAUGGUGUUUUUUAUUUCAGAUAUUUUUGUUUCUAUUUUGAAGCACUGAAUUCUGCCCUUUGCAACUGAAUUUUUACAUUAAUUUAUAGUGUGGACUAAAUGAUUGUUUUAUUUCAAAGAGUGGUCCUGUGGCCCUUUUAUGCAUCUUGUUCAUCUCAAAUUUUGGGUUGCCCUACACGAAUAGUGUGUUUGGCUUGGUUUUUUUUUGGUUUUUUUUUUUUUUUGUAAAAUUAGUGUGUCUAGAUAGAUUUGAGUGGUACCAAAAUCCAAAAGAAGAAAGUGAUUAAAGCCUUUAAAAAAUGCCUAUGUGCCUGAUGGGUAAAUAAAGAAGACCUUGGAUUGAAUAAACACUGAUAGGACCUAAGGUUUCUGUCCUGCACUUGAGAGAUACUUCUUUACUUUCUUUAGAGGGCCUGAUUACAGCUGGUUUGGUGCUUAUCUUGUUUUGAUUCUGUUAACUUUGGUAGGCCUUGAUUUCAUUUUUUAUUUUUUUAACCCCCUUACAUAUUGGAAAUAGACUUUUGGAAGAUAGUUAAAUGUGUGGUAGUAUUUGCAUUUUACCCUGUCUCUGUGUCAGUCCUGUGGCCACCUGCAGUGGAGGGCCCCGAGGCUGUAGAGUGCAGGUAUGAUGACAUCCAGGUAAAUGGUGCAGGACUGCCCACUGUGUCUGGGCUUACAAGAGCGCAUGGAAAGCUGUAAGCAACUGUGCUUUUUUCACAAGUCUGUCUUGGAUCUGAAGCAGGUAUUUUUGCUAGAAAUGGUCCUGCUGAGAUUCCUGGUGUUUCACUAUAGUAGCGAUGAGCUAACACAGCAGUAUGGUGCCAUGGCAAGCAGGGCCAUAAGAGAAGAACUGGACAAGUUGAGGCUGUCAAGGCAUAACCUAAGCAGAGGUGCUGACUGUGCUAGGGACCAUUUGGACCAUUUCCCUUCCCUAAGACAAGUGAUCUCAGCUGGCUUGAGGCCAGCUGAAAAGUUUUGUUCUCCCUAGCUGUGUUGGGUAGGUAAAGAUACUUCUCUUCCAAGCAAAAAAUAUAUAUAUAUUUAAAUUUCAGCUGUGUUUGUUACAGUCUUUUUCUUUUUUUUUUUUCUUUUUUUUUUAUUUUUUCCUAUGGUUGAAUAUUAGGGUCAGCAUCUUCUCUGGCAGAUUUUCUGGGCUGAGACUGGCUUGUGUGGAAACCAUGUCCCACUGUAGCUUCUGCCCUGCUUGGAGCCUUUGCCAGUGUACCAGGACAGAGCUUUGUCAGAGCACUGGCUUUCUUUUAACACUUUUGGAGCUCAUUUGUGAAGAUCAAAAGUUAUCUAUGUAUUGAGCAAUGCAAAUCUUGUUUCCCUGAAUCCAGGCUGAGAUUCAUUUGGCAUUCUCAGGUGUUAACCUCCAUUUUUCAGAUAACGAAGGUGUGCAGCUGUGUAAGUGUUUUGAACAACUGUGGCAUUCAUGUGUUUGAAAAUGAAGUAAUUAUGCGUGCCAGAUUCCAUUAAACAAAGGGUGGCCUACUAGGUCUCCUUUGCACUAAAUUAGGCCAGUAUGCAAUAGUAACUUUUACUGACUAGAUGUGUAGUAGCUACAAAUCUCUAGCUUCUGGCCCUGGGAGCUGUUCUGAGGAUUGAGAGCACUGAAGUGACAUAAAUUUCAGAACUUACCUCAAAGACCAUGGCUGGGAAAGUUUGAAUGAAAACUAAGACAUGUUAUUUUUUGACAGCGAAUGGAUUGACCAUUGGAGUGAGCUAUCUGAAGGUAGAGGGGAACCUCCAUUCUUCAUGCUGCAAUUCAAGGCCAGAAACUUUUCUGAAAGAUGUUCAAGCCUUUUGGGCUCGACUAAGGAAAUGGAAACUUCAGGGCCAGCAUUACUUGAGGUUGAGACAGGAUGGUCUGAUGGGCUUUGUGAAUUCAAAUUUAAUGUGUCUAUGCUGCUAGAGCCAAGAUAAUUUCUCCAUUCUCUGCAAAGUGCCACGUCAUCCCAGGUGUCUGUGUCCUGGUCUGAGUACAUGGUUUGGUGAGUGGCUGAGCUGACUAAUAGCCCCAGUGGCUCAUCUCAUUCCUACUUCUGCCAGUGUGGGCCCAUCCUCUUUGAGCUUUGAUAUUCAUCCAGCCUGGCCCUGAGCUAAUUCGUCUCACUAAACCAGCCGGAAACUAUCUUGUUUUAAUUGUGUUUUAUUCUGGCUGUGUUAGUCCUUUUAUAGGUUCCUGUGGUUGCAUCAGCUCACAGAAGAGCCAGACAAGCUCAGGAACUGGUGUAACGUAAUCAGCAGGAGAGUAAGUCUGAGAGGGAAGGACAGGCCUGCCUCCUUUUGGCCUCCCAGAAUUAUUGGCUUGGUUAACCUCAUUUUGUGUAGUUUCACACUGGUGUGUUUUCUUAUGGAUCCCAGGCAGAGGCAGGAGACGAGUAGAGGAUUUUUGGUCUGAUCCUGUGCAACUACUCUUUUCCUUAAUAGCAAAUCUGUUCUUCCUCUUCGGCUUUUGCUGUAUGUGUCCCUGUUAAUGCUUCUUUGUUUUAAUUUUUGUUCUUUCCUUUCUCUACGUUUCUUCUAAGUGACCAGUCCUUUGCUGUGUGGAACUUCUUCAGACUCCAGCUUAGACCCGUUUGCUCAUCUGCAGUUACUCUUGGAGAAGGUUUAAAAAUACACAGCAAAGCCUGUCUUAGGAGACCAGUCAAGGAGCUGACGAAAGUGGGUUGCCUAGCAGAGGUGGCCUAAUAAAAUUGAAGUGGAAUUGUACUGUGCAUCUUUGGGACGGCUUCUGGGUGGUCUGUUCAGACAAAUUCGUGUCCUGCUGGUGUGGAGUCUCCAUGUGGGUUUCACUGUGUUGUCAAGUGAACUGAGAUGUGUUUGUUUCCCAGCUUUGUAGGGUGCCAUAGCUCCAGCAAGUGCUUCCCUAAGUAAUCAGCGCCUUCGGCCUUGCACAUUGUGAUCUCACAAGCCAUCGCGUCUGUGAUGUCACAAUGGAAGAGAUUCUGGUGCUCUGACAUGUGUGGUCGUGCCUUUGACAAAUCAGCCAAGGAACCCAGCGGCAAGAAUGAGCUCAAGAAAUGGGAGAGACCUUCCUUAACCCAAGAGUGCCCUCCAUCCUUUAGUCAGCCUUUUCCAUGUUCCAUAAUGACCAUGUAGAGGGAAACCAGUGCCUGUAUAGGGCGUGGUUGUCUAGCAGUGCUGGAGGCAAACCCAGCCAAAUGAGAAGGGAGUGCAGCCAUGAAGUGUACUGUUCUCAUGUUCAAGUGAUGAUACUGUGAGGUUAACAAAUUAAAGAAGCAAAUUUACUUGUCUUAAAAAUGUGUUACUUUAUUAAAAAGUUCUAAAAGCUUUGUCUUUUGUUAUUUGUUUUACUUUAUGUUGGUUGGUUUUUUUGCAAGUUUGAGUGGUGAGAGUGGAUAAGUUGGUCUUGUUCAUAGUCUCUUGUUUUCUGCCUCACAGGCUAGCCAGGUGCUGUCAUUUUUGGACUGUAGUUCGUCUAAUGAAAUAUUUGGGUUUAGGUUAAGGUUGAUUAAAAAACACCCUGAGUUAUCUCUAUUGUUCUUCAGUUAUAUUUUCACACAAGUGAAAUAUGGGCUCACAUUUGACCUCUGAGUAUGCAUUUGAACAGCUACCAAAAUUGAAGUUCUGCAUUUUUUGUUAUACUGUGUUCCAGGUGUUGCAAAAUGUGUGCAAUUUUGUUAUACAGAAAGCAUCUCUAUUACCCGAACUUCUUUUCCCCUCCAUAAUUCAAUAAAAUAGACAAACC
Non-coding RNA from Cyanistes caeruleus (blue tit), 4743 nucleotides. NCBI's taxonomy places the organism in Eukaryota, Metazoa, Chordata, Aves, Passeriformes, Paridae. The record is from RefSeq and is a predicted model, not a curated record.